GCGGGAGUUAUUUGAAUGCCAGGGCGGUAACGACUCCCUAGACGCUUGGGGCCCUCUGACAAGAAACCCGAGGAGACGCCGCGGAGAACUCUGCCUCUGAGCUGGUGGGCGGGCCGGCUGUAGCCCAGCGCGGACAGGGCUAGUCCGGACAGAGUCCCAGAGCCAUGGGAGCGAAAAGAGACUGCUGCGGAUUAAGGAGGCCUUUCGGUUGGCGCAGCAGCCACACCACAACCAGGCGAAGCUGGUGGUGGCGCUGAAUCGCUCCUGCCACGGGAGAUGGAGUUCUGCUCUUGUUGCCCAGGCUGGAGUGCAAUGGCGCAAUCUUGGCUCACCGCAACCUCCACCUCCUGAGUUCAAGCGAUUCUCCUCCUACAACCUCCUGAGUAGCUGGGAUUACAGGCACCUGCCACCACGCCUGGCUAAUUUUGUAUUUUUAGUAGAGACGGGGUUUCUCCAUGUUGGUCAGGCUAGUCUCGAACUCCUGACCUCAGGUGAUCCGCCCUCAUUGGCAUCCCAAAGUGCUGGGAUUACAGGUGUGAUAAAUUGACCAUUUUAUACCAGGAAGUCAAAUGAGAAGACAUCAGUAAAAAUAUUCUGGCCAACUCAUGUUUUAUUUAUCAUAUCCUCGUCAUUAAUUGCUUCUCAUAAUGCCACAGUUUGUCAUGGUAUUUGUGGCAGCAGGCAAAGUCCUUGUUCAGACUUUGAUUAAAUUGCUGUGGCAUUUUUCUAUUAAAAAGAUCUCCUGUUUCAA
Symphalangus syndactylus (siamang) is the source of this 751-nucleotide long non-coding RNA. RefSeq lists it as uncharacterized. The record is from RefSeq and is a predicted model, not a curated record. Lineage: Eukaryota; Metazoa; Chordata; Mammalia; Primates; Hylobatidae.